UGAAGGGUCACAGACUUUGUCU
This 22-nucleotide microRNA is filed under the name Tribolium castaneum (red flour beetle). Its description in RNAcentral is "tca-miR-11619b-3p". Lineage: Eukaryota; Metazoa; Arthropoda; Insecta; Coleoptera; Tenebrionidae. The record is from miRBase by way of RNAcentral.